AGGAAAUCUAGAAACAAGGGGAUAAACAUACACUUAGACCUGAGCAGAGACUAACACAUUACAAAGCAGUUACUCCCAAUAAAAUUUUCUUCAAGAGACAGUAAUGUUUAUGACAGGUAAAAUUUCCAGAAUCCAAAGUUUACAAACAGAUCUGUGUCCUAGAAAGACCUGGAAGAACCCAGAACCCAUCUAGAGAACAGAACCCACCUACUGACCAGGCAGCAUCAUUUACAAUGAUGGGAGUCUUACUUAACGCCCUUUCUUACACCAUAUGUUGUGGGGUUCGUCAGAUUCAGUCCUGUGAGUGCAAAUAUCUCAAUCUAAACUUAGGCACAUGUGCUUAUCGUCACCAGAACACAGAGGCUAAAUACCCGUUGCGUUGUACGUUCAUUUAAG
This 396-nucleotide long non-coding RNA is filed under the name Bos taurus (domestic cattle). RNAcentral's name for it is "long non-coding RNA NONBTAT027106". The record is from RNAcentral. Lineage: Eukaryota; Metazoa; Chordata; Mammalia; Artiodactyla; Bovidae.